GGUUCUCUGGCUGGCGCCCCCUGGCCCCUCUGACAGAAACACAUGGUCAAAACAUCAGGACGAGCUACACCACUGGGUCAUGGAUGUCGACGACGCGUAGCUCAGUCACACCCGAGAACAGCUGAUAAAGUGGCUCGCGCUCUGCUCAAGCGGGCAAACAGAUAAACGUUCAGUGUAACAGAAGGACAGAUGAUCUCUAUGGGGAAGCCAUCUGGUGGUGACGUGACGACCCAGGAAGAGGCCUGCUGUUUACCUACCUGUGUUCCUGACAGGUCCUCCUGGUCCUCCAGCUCCAUCCUGAUUGGGUCGUGUGGCGGCAAGCCCAUGGGGUAGACUAUCAUCACCGCGCCCCUCAGCUGGUCCAGCGCCUCCUUCACCGUCUCCAUGGUAACACACACACCAGCCACCGCCUGUUUCUGAAGAGCACAAAA
Non-coding RNA from Oncorhynchus mykiss (rainbow trout), 431 nucleotides. Lineage: Eukaryota; Metazoa; Chordata; Actinopteri; Salmoniformes; Salmonidae. The record is from RefSeq and is a predicted model, not a curated record.